This 510-nucleotide ribosomal RNA is filed under the name uncultured bacterium. RNAcentral describes it as "partial 16S ribosomal RNA". The record is from RNAcentral.
GGAGUUAGCCGGUGCUUCUUCUGCGAGUAACGUCACAGAUGUAAGGUAUUAACUUACACCCUUUCCUCCUCGCUGAAAGUGCUUUACAACCCGAAGGCCUUCUUCACACACGCGGCAUGGCUGCAUCAGGGUUUCCCCCAUUGUGCAAUAUUCCCCACUGCUGCCUCCCGUAGGAGUCUGGGCCGUGUCUCAGUCCCAGUGUGGCUGAUCAUCCUCUCAGACCAGCUAGGGAUCGUCGCCUAGGUGAGCCUUUACCUCACCUACUAGCUAAUCCCACCUGGGCUUAUCCAUCAGCGCAAGGCCCGAAGGUCCCCUGCUUUCCCCCGUAGGGCGUAUGCGGUAUUAGCAGUCGUUUCCAACUGUUAUCCCCCACAAAUGGGCAAAUUCCCAGGCAUUACUCACCCGUCCGCCGCUCGUCAUCUUCAAAAGCAAGCUUUUGAAAUGUUACCGCUCGACUUGCAUGUGUUAGGCCUGCCGCCAGCGUUCAUCUGAGCGAGAUACAACUACUGA